RNAcentral lists this ribosomal RNA (506 nucleotides) under uncultured bacterium. RNAcentral describes it as "partial 16S ribosomal RNA". It matches the Rfam family "Bacterial small subunit ribosomal RNA", at positions 29 to 523 of the family's 1533-position model. The record is from RNAcentral.
AGUGAACGCUGGCGGUAGGCCUAACACAUGCAAGUCGAACGGCAGCACAGGAGAGCUUGCUCUCUGGGUGGCGAGUGGCGGACGGGUGAGGAAUACAUCGGAAUCUACUUUUUCGUGGGGGAUAACGUAGUGAAACUUACGCUAAUACCGCCUACGACCUACGGGUGAAAGCAGGGGACCUUCGGGCCUUGCGCGAUUGAAUGAGCCGAGGUCGGAUGAGCUAGUUGGUGGGGUAAAGGCCUACCAAGGCGACGAUCCGUAGCUGGUCUGAGAGGAUGAUCAGCCACACUGGAACUGAGACACGGUCCAGACUACUACGGGAGGCAGCAGUGGGGAAUAUUGGACAAUGGGCGCAAGCCUGAUCCAGCCAUACCGCGUGGGUGAAGAAGGCCUUCGGGUUGUAAAGCCCUUUUGUUGGGAAAGAAAUCCAGCUGGCUAAUACCCGGUUGGGAUGACGGUACCCAAAGAAUAAGCACCGGCUAACUUCGUGCCAGCAGCCGCGGUAA